GGACAGUGUAGGCUAGCCUACAAACCACAGCUUUGAGAAAGAUAUUUCUGUUGUAUAGGAUAGCCUCACUAUGGGUGCAAAUAGAGUGUAUGCAAAGUUUUCUUUCCUUAUAGUACACAGUUAGUUAUAUCAGCAAACAUCUUUGUUUUAUUACUUUCCUUCUUUCACAUUUGAAUUUUCAAUCAAUUGUUGCCUUACCCAAGGACUUCAAGCCAGAUUUUGAAGACUACUCACCAGGUACUUUCAGUAUCAGGCUGCAAGUGACAAAAACGGGGACUGAACGUGUUAUGGUGAAGAAAAUACAUUCUGUUGAGUUAGCUGAAAGUUGACUGUAUCACAAGAACUCACUGCAAGUGGAGUAUGUGAAAUAGAUGCAGGU
This 379-nucleotide long non-coding RNA is filed under the name Gallus gallus (chicken). The record is from RNAcentral. Lineage: Eukaryota; Metazoa; Chordata; Aves; Galliformes; Phasianidae.